Long non-coding RNA from Melanotaenia boesemani (Boeseman's rainbowfish), 917 nucleotides. RefSeq lists it as uncharacterized. The record is from RefSeq and is a predicted model, not a curated record. The transcript has 2 exons. Lineage: Eukaryota; Metazoa; Chordata; Actinopteri; Atheriniformes; Melanotaeniidae.
UGUCCCCUCUCAAAGCUAUUAUUUACCAUGUUCACCGUGUAAAUACACUUGUGCCAUCACUACAUUUACAGUAGCACAGACAGGAAACUGUUUGAUAUUAAGUUGUUGGUUUUCCGGGGGAAGUCACACAGAAAUUUCCUAUUUUACACACGGAGAAAAAAACUACUUCCACAUCCGGUUAAGUUGCAUUCUGUAAGCGUGCGCCAUCAAACCGCUCACCGGAGACCCAACUGAUUAUAUUCUUUAACCUUUGUCCUUUUUUUGCUGAUCUUUUACAAUGUAAAUGCUAGGAAAAUACCGGUCUUCUCCUUCCACAGGACGGCAGAGAGGCUACUUACCGUAUCCAGCAGGACAAAGCUCUAUAUCGCACAGCUGGGCCAGUCAAGGUGUGGUUGGAGGACCACCAGAUCAAGACCUUGUCAUGGUCAGCCAAAUCUCCAGACCUAAACCCCACUGAAAACCUCUGGAUCAAGAGGAAGAUGAAAGGUCAGAAACCAUCCAAAAAAGCAGAGCUGCUUGAAUUCUUGUGCAAGGAAUGGCAUAAAGUCAUUUUCUACAAAUAAAUGCUCUAAUACAGUAAAUGCUCUAAGACAAUAUUUGUAUUUUGAAUUUAUUUCUAAGUUUAUCGAAUAAAACAAAAUUUUAUUCCGUUUUUUUAAAGGAGAAAUAAAAUGUCUUCCAAAAGCUCCACAAUUUAUUGCCAAGAAGCAUUGUUAUAAAUAAUCAGCUAAACACAUUUUUCUUUAUUCUUUGCUGUUUAAUAUGUGCAUUUCCUAGACGACCAAAGCAUACCUGAACUAAACUUAAAAUGUCAUGUUGAUUAUUUCUUCUUUUUCAUUUUACAGUUUACAGUGGUGUCUUAUUUCUAACUAUGUAAAUAAACUUUUUGACUUGCUAUAAUAAAAACAUCUUCAAUA